GUGAGUAACGCGUGGAAAACCUGCCGUAUACCGGGGGAUAACACUUAGAAAUAGGUGCUAAUACCGCAUAAGCGCACAGCUUCGCAUGAAGCAGUGUGAAAAACUCCGGUGGUAUACGAUGGCUCCGCGUCUGAUUAGCUAGUUGGCGGGGUAACGGCCCACCAAGGCAGCGAUCAGUAGCCGGCCUGAGAGGGUGAACGGCCACAUUGGGACUGAGACACGGCCCAAACUCCUACGGGAGGCAGCAGUGGGGAAUAUUGCACAAUGGGGGAAACCCUGAUGCAGCGACGCCGCGUGAGUGAAGAAGUAUUUCGGUACGUAAAGCUCUAUCAGCAGGGAAGAAAAUGACGGUACCUGACUAAGAAGCCCCGGCUAACUACGUGCCAGCAGCCGCGGUAAUACGUAGGGGGCAAGCGUUAUCCGGAUUUACUGGGUGUAAAGGGAGCGUAGACGGCAGCGCAAGUCUGGAGUGAAAUGCCGGUGCCCAACCCCGGAACUGCUUUGGAAACUGUGCAGCUUGAGUGCGGGAGAGGUAAGUGGAAUUCCUAGUGUAGCGGUGAAAUGCGUAGAUAUUAGGAGGAACACCAGUG
Molecule: ribosomal RNA, 590 nt
Filed under: uncultured bacterium
Lineage: Bacteria
Description: bacterial SSU rRNA
Rfam family: Bacterial small subunit ribosomal RNA
Source: RNAcentral